GACUGGCCUGAAGGUAGUGAGUUAUCUCAAUUGAUUAUUCAGUCAGUUACAGAUUGAACUCCUGGUUCUACUCUUUCUCUCCUUCUCACUACUGCACUUGACUAGCCCCCC
Unclassified non-coding RNA from Nomascus leucogenys (northern white-cheeked gibbon), 111 nucleotides. It matches the Rfam family "Y RNA". Rfam says of the family: Y RNAs are components of the Ro ribonucleoprotein particle (Ro RNP), in association with Ro60 and La proteins. The Y RNAs and Ro60 and La proteins are well conserved, but the function of the Ro RNP is not known. The record is from Ensembl. NCBI's taxonomy places the organism in Eukaryota, Metazoa, Chordata, Mammalia, Primates, Hylobatidae.